RNAcentral lists this ribosomal RNA (1069 nucleotides) under Cladosporium herbarum. Its description in RNAcentral is "SSU rRNA". It matches the Rfam family "Eukaryotic small subunit ribosomal RNA", at positions 54 to 1131 of the family's 1831-position model. Lineage: Eukaryota; Fungi; Ascomycota; Dothideomycetes; Cladosporiales; Cladosporiaceae. The record is from RNAcentral.
CAUGUCUAAGUAUAAGNNACUAUACGGUGAAACUGCGAAUGGCUCAUUAAAUCAGUUAUCGUUUAUUUGAUAGUACCUUACUACAUGGAUAACCGUGGUAAUUCUAGAGCUAAUACAUGCUAAAAACCUCGACUUCGGAAGGGGUGUAUUUAUUAGAUAAAAAACCAAUGCCCUUCGGGGCUCCUUGGUGAAUCAUAAUAACUUAACGAAUCGCAUGGCCUUGCGCCGGCGAUGGUUCAUUCAAAUUUCUGCCCUAUCAACUUUCGAUGGUAGGAUAGUGGCCUACCAUGGUAUCAACGGGUAACGGGGAAUUAGGGUUCGACUCCGGAGAGGGAGCCUGAGAAACGGCUACCACAUCCAAGGAAGGCAGCAGGCGCGCAAAUUACCCAAUCCCGACACGGGGAGGUAGUGACAAUAAAUACUGAUACAGGGCUCUUUUGGGUCUUGUAAUUGGAAUGAGUACAAUUUAAAUCCCUUAACGAGGAACAAUUGGAGGGCAAGUCUGGUGCCAGCAGCCGCGGUAAUUCCAGCUCCAAUAGCGUAUAUUAAAGUUGUUGCAGUUAAAAAGCUCGUAGUUGAACCUUGGGCCUGGCUGGCCGGUCCGCCUCACCGCGUGUACUGGUCCGGCCGGGCCUUUCCUUCUGGGGAACCUCAUGCCCUUCACUGGGCGUGUUGGGGAACCAGGACUUUUACUUUGAAAAAAUUAGAGUGUUCAAAGCAGGCCUUUGCUCGAAUACAUUAGCAUGGAAUAAUAGAAUAGGACGUGUGGUUCUAUUUUGUUGGUUUCUAGGACCGCCGUAAUGAUUAAUAGGGAUAGUCGGGGGCAUCAGUAUUCAAUCGUCAGAGGUGAAAUUCUUGGAUUGAUUGAAGACUAACUACUGCGAAAGCAUUUGCCAAGGAUGUUUUCAUUAAUCAGUGAACGAAAGUUAGGGGAUCGAAGACGAUCAGAUACCGUCGUAGUCUUAACCAUAAACUAUGCCGACUAGGGAUCGGACGGUGUUAGUAUUUUGACCCGUUCGGCACCUUACGAGAAAUCAAANUUUUUNGGUNNUNGGGGGGAGUNUNGNCG